Molecule: ribosomal RNA, 443 nt
Filed under: uncultured bacterium
Lineage: Bacteria
Description: partial 16S ribosomal RNA
Rfam family: Bacterial small subunit ribosomal RNA
Source: RNAcentral
CCUACGGGUGGCAGCAGUGGGGAAUAUUGGGCAAUGGGCGCAAGCCUGACCCAGCAACGCCGCGUGAAGGAAGAAGGCUCCCGGGUUGUAAACUUCCUUUUUCAGGGACGCAGCAAGUGACGGUACCUGAUGACUAAGCCACGGCUAACUACGGGCCAGCAGCCGCGGUGAUACGUCGGUGGCAAGCGUUAUCCGGAUUUACUGGGUGUAAAGGGCGUGUAGGCGGGAAAGCAAGUCAGAUGUGAAAACCAUGGGCUCAACCUGUGGCCUGCAUUUGAAACUGGUUGUCUUGAGUACUGGAGAGGCAGACGGAAUUCCUAGUGUAGCGGUGAAAUGCGUAGAUAUUAGGAGGAACACCAGUGGCGAAGGCAGUCUGCUGGACAGCAACUGACGCUGAGGCGCGAAAGCGUGGGGAGCAAACAGGAUUAGAUACCCGGGUAGUC